This 254-nucleotide ribosomal RNA is filed under the name uncultured bacterium. Its description in RNAcentral is "partial 16S ribosomal RNA". It matches the Rfam family "Bacterial small subunit ribosomal RNA", at positions 524 to 776 of the family's 1533-position model. The record is from RNAcentral.
UACGGAGGGCGCGAGCGUUGUCCGGAAUCACUGGGUGUAAAGGGCGCGUAGGCGGCCCUGGUAAGUCUGCGGUGAAAGCCCGGGGCUCAACCCCGGGUCGGCCGCGGGUACUGCCGGGCUGGAGUGCCGUAGGGGCAGGCGGAAUUCCGGGUGUAGCGGUGGAAUGCGUAGAGAUCCGGAAGAACACCGGUGGCGAAGGCGGCCACCUGGACGGUAACUGACGCUGAGACGCGAAAGCGUGGGGAGCAAACAGG